This 302-nucleotide long non-coding RNA is filed under the name Malus domestica (apple). RNAcentral describes it as "long non-coding RNA (MDOM_LNC001019)". The record is from RNAcentral. Lineage: Eukaryota; Viridiplantae; Streptophyta; Magnoliopsida; Rosales; Rosaceae.
CACUAGUGGAUACCACAAAAUCUUUGUUAUACUUAAUGAAAGUAUAAACAAACUCUAAGUGUUAGUGAAUCUAUCGUUUAUCCACUAGUGUAAAUAUUUUAAAUUGAAGAUCGAAUUCAUUCAUUGUAUUCAUAUAGGGUCAAGGAGUGUAGCUGUAAAAAAUCAUCAAAAUCGGAGUUAAAAUAACCGUUAAAUUGUGAUUUUUCAUUGAUAACCGUCGAAAUUUUUUAUCCCGUUACUUGAUCUCUGAAUGUUUGUUUUUUGUAAUUUUUGGCGUAUGCGAUCUCGAAGUUUAUACAAAC